Orcinus orca (killer whale) is the source of this 3302-nucleotide long non-coding RNA. RefSeq lists it as uncharacterized. Lineage: Eukaryota; Metazoa; Chordata; Mammalia; Artiodactyla; Delphinidae. The record is from RefSeq and is a predicted model, not a curated record. The transcript is spliced from 3 exons.
CGCCUCCCCGGCGGCCGCCGAGCGUUGCCGGACGCCGUAACCCCGCUCCGCCGCGCUCCCUCGGCCGGUCAGUAGUCGCCUCCUCCGGCUGCUGCUGCUGCUGCCGCCGCCGCUCCUCCUCCUUCUGGCCCAGAGAGGGGUGUAACAAAUUGGAUUAUCAUGUGUCCUCCAACUUCAAGGUCACUGCAGAACACACAAGGAAGGCCCUCCAGCCCAAACAAUAAUGAUGUUCUGAACUGAUCACUGUUAGCUAACCACUUAAAAAGUAGACAUCCAAACUCAUAAAGCUCAACAAUAUUUCUAAAAUAUUUAAGGAGUGUAUGAUUCAAGCCAAUACUUUAAAGAAAAUUCACCAAUUAUAAAUGCUAUGAAGCCUUUUCUGAGCUUCCUUAAGAAUAAAAAGUCAAAAAGCAACAUACCAUUGGGAAAAUAGUUUUCUUCUUGUGAAGAUAAAAAUGUUUGAAAUAACACAUGGAACACAGAUGGAAAAAAGAAACUGCAUUCCUUUGACAGCAAAUACCUUGAGAAUACGCAUAUAAAACAUUGCUAAAGACCUAAUGACACAAGUAUUGGAACAUGUUACACAAUGUGGGAAGUUUACUAUAAUGUUAAAUGGAAAGCACAGAUGUUUUUAAUAUGUCUCACAUUAUGGUAUUGGAUAGAUUCUGUUUCAGUGCGGUGUUUACUAGAUUGUGUUUCAAUAAUGAGAUGCAUUUUAAAGUGAAGAUUCUGUGAGCCGCCAAAGGAAAACUAUAGUAGAGAAGGUAUUUUUUCUCUAAUACAUCUUUGAAUGGUAUUUUCAACAAUUGACUUAAAAAAAUAAAAACUGUGUUUUAUGCAAAACUUGUGUAAGUGUAACCACCGAUGGAUGAGUUACUUAGACUUAAAAAAAUUUUUUUAAAGAAAGGAAGGAUUCCAAGUUAAGAUUACAGGGAGAGCAACCACAUGAAAUUCAUUUGAGGUGUAUCUCAUAAGCAGUUAUUCCAGCAAAGAAGCUGGAGCCAGAAACUGAGGUUAAUUUUGUGGAAAGAAAACUUGUAUAACAGUUUUAAGAUUUUUCUUCACUGUGAAAUAUAAUACAUACAGAAAAGUGCAUAAUACCUAUGCACGUAGUUAAUAAAUAAUUAUAAAAUAAACAUUCCUAAGCAAUCUCCUAGGCCAGAAGAUAGAACAUUAUCAUCACUCAUGCAAGGGUGCACACACCCAAACACUGCCCCCCCCACACACACAGGUGCCCCUCCUCAGUUGCAGUUUUCUUCUUUUUCUUAAAGAUAAUCAUGAGCCUGACUUUUGUGAUGAUUAUUUAUUUAUUUUUCCUUACAGUUUUGCUACCUAUAUGUGCAUUCCUAAGCUAAUAUUUUGUUUUUUCCUCUCUUUGAACUUUAUAUAAGUGGCAUCACACUCUACAGACUCUUUUGCAUCUUGUUUCUUGGACUCAUCAUCAUUUGUAAGAUUCAUUUAUGUUGAUGUAGCCAUGGUUUGUUCCUUUCAUUCCUUUGUAUUGCAGAAUAGCAUCCAGUGGAUAUAUAAAUUAUCAUUUUCUUAUCCAUCUCAUUUUAUUUUAUUUAUUUUUAAAAAUAUUUUAUUUAUUUAUUUAUUUGGUUGUGUCAGGUCUUAGUUGCGGCAUGCGGUCUUCUCUCUAGUUGUGGUGCAUGGGCUCUCUAGUUGUGGCACAUGUGGGCUGUAGAGCGCGCAGGCUUAGUUGCCCCUCGGCAUGUGAGACCUUAGUUCCCCGACAAGGGAUGGAACCCACUUCUCCUGUGUUGGAAGGCGGACUCUUAACCACUGGACCACCAGAGGAGUCCUUAUCCAUCCCAUUUUAGAUGCACAUGUGGAUUAUUUCUAGUUUUUGCCUAUUACAAACAAAGCCACUAGGACCACUCUCGUUUUAAAAUAUAAUAUCUUGGUGGGUAUGCUAGAUCACAGGGCAUGUGUAUUUCCAACUUUGGUAGAUAGUACCCAACUGAUUUCAAAAGUGGUUUUAAGUAUUACAUUCCCAAUAGCAGGGCAUGAGAAGUCUCCCUAUAUUUCUUAACAUACUUAAAUAAUACUUAGUAUAUGCCAGAUAUCAUAUUAACUGCUUUAUAAAUGUUGACUUUUUAAAUUCUCAAAUAACCCUAUUGAGUUGGUUCUAUUACUAUCCUAAUUUACAGGAGAGAAAAUUUUGGCACAGAGAGGCUAAGUAAUUUGCCCACAGCUAUACAAGUAGUAAGAAUCCAGGAGCUGGGAUUCUUAGACAAUUGGCUCCAGGGUCUAUGUCCUUACCGACUAUGCUAUGUUUGUUUAUUUAAAAUUAAUUAAUUAAUUUAUUUAUUUUUGGCUGCGUUGGGUCUUCAUUGCUGUGUGCGGGCUUUCUCUAGUUGUGGUGAGCGGGGGGCUACUCUUCAUUGCCCUGUGAAGACUUCUCACUGUGGUGGUUUCUCUUUUUUGUGGAGCAUGGGCUCUAGGUGCACGGGCUUCAGUAGUUGUGGCGCAUGGGCUCAGUAAUUGUGACUCAUAGGCUUAGUUGCUCCACGGCAUGUGGGAUCUUCCUGGACCAGGGCUCGAACCCGUGUCCCCCACAUUGGUAGGCGGAUUCUUAACCACUGUGCCACCAGGGAAGUCCCCACUAUGCUAUGUUGAUGUUUGAAAAUUUUCCCUUUAUAUGUAAUUUUUGCAAUUGAAAAUGCAUGUAACCUAUAAAAACUCUGAUAUCUUAUAGGAUUUUUUAAUCCACUUGAGUAACAUUAGGUAAAAUGGAAAUGCAUCCAUCAGAUUUAACCAAAAUCUUUGCAUAAUGAGUGAUGAGACUGAAAAAUAGGUAUGAUUUAGCAACCCAGCUAAUGAAGCAGUUCUUCCAUUUAAAUACCCGUAUCUUUGUGAAUUCUUUUCAGAGAGCCUUUAAAUAAACUGAACAUAAAAGCAGACAUCUGUGUUGCUGUAUCACAAAAUGUUGACCCAAGAUCUAAAGAAUAAUGAGGCAUAUUCAAUUACUGUUCCCCUAAAAGGCUUUGUUAACAAUAACAUGCUAGAGAAAAGUAUAUUUUGUAUUAUUAGUAAUACAUUUUGAAAUUAUUUAAAAUAUGAUUUACUUCAUCUUUAUCUCAUCUAUUGAAAAUCUUCAAUUUCAGUAUGUUUUAUUGUAUUCAUAAUAUAUUAACAGUAAUACAUGCAUGUCAUUUAUAAAGAUAUUGGGGGUAUGCUCAAAAUUCUUUCCAAUAGGGGACUCAGUCAGAAAAGUUUGGAGACUACUGGUCUGGUGUCUAACGCUGUGUCUUAGAGAGCAGGCUUAGAAGGAAACCACAGUGGAGUCUUGGACUGCC